UACGUAGGGUGCGAGCGUUGUCCGGAAUUAUUGGGCGUAAAGAGCUCGUAGGCGGUUUGUUGCGUCGGCUGUGAAAACCUGCGGCUUAACUGUGGGCUUGCAGUCGAUACGGGCAGACUUGAGUUCGGCAGGGGAGACUGGAAUUCCUGGUGUAGCGGUGAAAUGCGUAGAGAUCGGGAGGAACACCAGUGGCGAAGGCGGCUACCUGGACCAGCACUGACACUGAGGCACGAAAGCGUGGGGAGCAAACAGGG
Molecule: ribosomal RNA, 254 nt
Filed under: uncultured bacterium
Lineage: Bacteria
Description: partial 16S ribosomal RNA
Rfam family: Bacterial small subunit ribosomal RNA
Source: RNAcentral